This is an RNA transcript of Arabidopsis lyrata subsp. lyrata, 3332 nucleotides long. It is a transcript of the gene named protein FAR1-RELATED SEQUENCE 2, with no coding region annotated. The record is from RefSeq and is a predicted model, not a curated record. The transcript has 9 exons. NCBI's taxonomy places the organism in Eukaryota, Viridiplantae, Streptophyta, Magnoliopsida, Brassicales, Brassicaceae.
GUGGGCGUCUUUCAAAUUUUCUCAAACGUGGAUCUUUUCCCAAAUGAAUACAAAAAUAUAAGGGUCGAUUUGCUAUUACAAUAAAUUCUAAAUUCUCUCCGGUGCUCAUUUUGAAACCUCCCUCUUUCGUUGCAAGGAAAGAAAAAAUACCCGGUUCAGUUUCCGACGGAUAUCCGUUUCCGACUUCUGAAUCUGAGUUUCUCAGAUUCUUUUAGUCCUCGCGAAGCCCGAUGCUACUCGCUUUUGCACCUCUGUACCAGGAGAGCUCAAUUAGGGAACUAAAGACAAAGACGACGGAGAAAUUCUGAACUCGAGAGAUUAUCCAUGAUCAUGUGAUGCACUAAUUCGUACUAUUCAAUUGCUGGAUUUCUGAAAUUAGCAAACCUUCAAAUGUUAGAAUUUGUGGAAAGUAUGUUAAAUUUGUAAUUGUGUUAUGGUGUGGACUUCCUUCACAUGAAUAGAACUUGAAAAAAAUGGACCACAUGUAGGUGUUGAUGGACCUCAUAGUUUUUGGAUGACAUGGAUGUUGAAGAUAUCGAAAUAGAUCUUUUAACAAGAAGUGGUAAUGUGGAUGUGUUUUGUGAGGCAAGUACUAGUGGGAACGUUUCUCGCAGUUUAGAGCAUUUUGCAACUGUUAGUGAGCUCAGAAAUGGUAUGGAGUUUGAGUCAAAGGAAGCUGCCUACUAUUUCUACCGAGAAUAUGCUCGAUCAGUGGGAUUUGGGAUCACAAUCAAAGCCAGCCGUCGUUCUAAAAGAUCGGGGAAGUUUAUUGAUGUCAAAAUAGCGUGUUCAAGAUUUGGAACCAAGCGCGAGAAAAGCGCAGUUAUAAACCCACGUUCAUGUCCAAAGACGGGUUGCAAAGCUGGUUUGCAUAUGAAGAGGAAGGAAGACGAGAAAUGGGUUAUAUAUAAUUUCGUAAAAGAACAUAACCAUGAGAUAUGUCCUGAUGAUUUUUAUGUUAGCAUAAGGGGAAAGAACAAGCCUGUUGGUGUGCUAGCAAAUCAAAAGAAAGGUCUUCAAUUGGCUUUAGAAGAGGAAGACUUAAAGUUAUUGCUCGAGCAUUUUAUGGACAUGCAGGAUAAGCAGCCUGGUUUUUUCUAUGCAGUUGAUUUCGACAGUGACAAACAUGUUAGAAAUGUCUUUUGGCUUGAUGCGAAGGCUAAGCAUGACUAUUGCAGCUUUUCUGAUGUUGUUCUGUUCGACACAUUUUAUGUUAGGAACGGAUUCAGAAUCCCAUUUGCUCCUUUUAUUGGGGUCAGUCAUCACCGACAUUACGUGCUCCUUGGAUGUGCUUUGAUUGGAGAAGAGAGUGAGUCAACAUAUUCUUGGCUAUUUAGAACGUGGCUUAAAGUAGUCGGUGGUCAAGGUCCUGGAGUGAUGAUAACAAAUCAGGAUAAGCUUCUAGGUGACAUUGUUGUUGAAGCCUUUCCAGAUGCUCGUCAUAUUUUUUGUUUGUGGAGUGUGCUGAGUAAAAUUCCUGAGAUGCUGAAUCCAUUUGUGAGUCAAGAUGAUGGUUUUAUGGAAAGUUUCAAAAAUUGCGUACAUAGCUCUUGGACAGAUGAACAAUUUGAAAGGAGGUGGUCAAAUAUGACUAGUAAAUUUGAACUUCACGAGAAUGAGUGGGUUCAGUUGUUGUUUAGAGAUCGUAAAAAAUGGGUUCCACAUUAUUUUCAUGGAAUUUGUUUAGCUGGACUGUCUGGACCUGAAAGGUCUAGCAGUAUCGCCUCUCAUUUCGACAAGUAUAUGAACUCAGAGGCUACGUUUAAGGACUUCUUUGAACUUUACAUGAAGUUUUUGCAGUAUCGAUGUGAUGUGGAAGCGAAAGAUGACCUUGAAUCUCAGAGAAAACAGCCUACACUGAGGUCUUCUUUGGCUUUCGAGAAACAACUUUCCUUGAUCUACACAGACGCGGCUUUUAAGAAGUUCCAAGCUGAGGUACCGGGGGUUGUUUCUUGUCAACUUCAAAAAGAAAGAGAAGAUGGGACAACCGCAAUAUUCCGCAUUGAAGAUUUUGAGGAACGGCAAAAUUUCUUCAUUGUUUUGAACAAAGAGUUGUUGGAUGCGUGUUGCUCUUGUCAUUUAUUUGAGUACCAGGGAUUCCUAUGCAAACAUGCGAUACUCGUACUUCAAAGCUCUGAUGUUUCCUGCAUUCCAUCUCAGUAUAUAUUGAAGCGCUGGUCAAAGAAAGGUAACAACAAAGAAGACAAAAACGAUACAUGUGCCACUAUACAUAUCCGAAUGGCACGUUUUGAUUAUCUAUGUAGGCGCUUUGUCAAGCUGGGAGUAGUUGCAUCUUUAUCAGAUGAAUCCUACAAGACUGCUUUAAAGUUGUUGCGGGAAACCAGGAAGCAUUGUGCUAGUAUGGAUAAUUCUCCCAAGUUUCCUUCAGAGCCAGACAAGUUAAUGACAGGUGGAUCUAUUGGCUUAGAAAACGAAGGUGUGUUGGACUGUGCAUCAAAAUUGUCCAAGAAAAAGAAAAUUCAGAAGAAAAGAAAGGUAUACUGUCGGGCAGAGGAUGCAACAAACAGGUCAGAAGAACUUCGCCAAGAAACCGAACAAGUUAGCUCCAGAGCUCCUACGUUUGAGAAUUGUUACAUUCCUCAAGCAAAUAUGGAAGAGCCCGAACUAGGCUCCCGUGCAACAACUCUUGGGGUCUAUUAUUCAACACAACAAACUAUUCAAGGAUUCUCAUCGGUUUCUUCCAUCCAGGAUGGUUACUACGGACAUCCGCCAACUAUACAAGCCAUGGGAAACAUGCAUUUAAUUCAUGGACGAAUGAGUCAAUAUGAGACACAACCAAGGAUGCAAGGAGCUUUUCAGGGACAGGCGGGGUUCAGGGGAAGCGCUAUCCGUGGCAGCUGUGACAUCGAAGAAACUAUGCACGGCAUGACAAUGGAGUCCUCACAGUUUCAGGGAUCUGGCCCAAGCCAUCCGAGUGAUCACCGCUUAUCUAAUUAACAGAUCAAGCUCAAGAGUUGCUAUAUUUGUUUUUCAUUUCAUUAAAAUAAUGGAAUGUUUUUAUGUACAGAAAUAUGAAAGGUCUAAAGUGUAGAAUUGGCUUUGAGACUUGUAGUUAUAGACAACCUUCGUUAACCUUGAGGGCCAUUGAGAGACAACCUUGGACUUGGUCACUGUGCCACGCCGAAGAGCGUAAUAAUAUACACUAUCGACUGAUUGGUUAAUCUGGAAACAAAUAUUAAGAGAGAAAGAAGUCACUCUGUUGUAUAACUCAACAAUGAGAUUCAGAUAACUAUUAUACUGUCUAUAACUUUGCAUUAAAAAAUCCAAAACAUUCAUUUAUAGUAUAAACCAAAGAACAACUUUUAAGACAA